This 500-nucleotide ribosomal RNA is filed under the name uncultured bacterium. Its description in RNAcentral is "partial 16S ribosomal RNA". It matches the Rfam family "Bacterial small subunit ribosomal RNA", at positions 29 to 523 of the family's 1533-position model. The record is from RNAcentral.
AGUGAACGCUGGCGGUAGGCCUAACACAUGCGAGUCGAACGGUAACGGGUCCUUCGGGAUGCCGACGAGUGGCGAACGGGUGAGUAAUAUAUCGGAACGUGCCCAGUAGUGGGGGAUAACUGCUCGAAAGAGCAGCUAAUACCGCACACGACCUGAGGGUGAAAGGGGGGGAUCGCAAGACCUCUCGCUAUUGGAGCGGCCGAUAUCAGAUUAGCUAGUUGGUGGGGUAAAGGCCUACCAAGGCAACGAUCUGUAGUUGGUCUGAGAGGACGACCAGCCACACUGGGACUGAGACACGGCCCAGACUCCUACGGGAGGCAGCAGUGGGGAAUUUUGGACAAUGGGCGCAAGCCUGAUCCAGCAAUGCCGCGUGCAGGAAGAAGGCCUUCGGGUUGUAAACUGCUUUUGUCAGGGAAGAAAUCUUCUGGGCUAAUACCCCGGGAGGAUGACGGUACCUGAAGAAUAAGCACCGGCUAACUACGUGCCAGCCGCCGCGGUAA